CAAAAUAAAUUGGGAAUAGCGACAGAAUGAUAGGGGCGGUUUCAUAUAAACCGUCGCCGCUAUGUUAUUUAAACACUUUGCCGACCGUUCUUUCGAAACCGUCGUGGCUGAGAUCUGAAAAUAACGCGCUUCCCCUUUCUCUUUUUCCUCUUCUUCUUUUCUCACUCACAAUUUGUCUUUUAUCGAAGGAAAUUGGAACAAACAACAACAACCGUCUCAUUUUUCUCUGAGAAUUGUUCAACCCUAAGUUUCAUUUCAGCAAAUCUUCGAUUCUAAAAAUCGUUCAAUUGAGUUUCAGUUCAACUUCGAUUCAUAAUCGUUCUCUCAUUCAGAAUCUUUCAUCCCUCAAGGUUCAGAAUCGUUCAAUUGAAUUUCAGUUCAACUUUCAGAAUCGUUCAUCUCUCAAGAUUUGGAAUCGUUCAAUUGAAUUUCCGUUCAACUUCAGCUAUUCAGAAUCGUUCUCUCAAGCUUCGAUUCAGCAAAGCUAGGACGAAAUCCUUCUUAGCUUAUCAGGCUUCAAUUCAGUUUCUCAACAAAGCUUCGAUUCAUAACCUCUCAAGCUUAAAUUUAGUUUUGUUCAUUGUUCAACGCAGCUACUGAACAGGUAAAGAGGACAAUAAAUGAAUGAGGUUUUAACUAUUAAGAAUAGUUAUAUGCUUUAAGUUGUAUGAUAAGGUUUGUAUUUUGUUUUGGUUUGUGGGCUGCUGUUCUGUAGUAGAGUUUUCUGGUUUUGGGGUACGGCAGCUGCAGAUUAGUCGGGUUACUAGUUUCGUAUUGGAUGUUUCUCUCAUUCCUCCCAAUUCAUUACUUCGGACUGUUAGUAUUUUGGCUCAAAGUACUGGUUUUUAACUUCUAUUAUAAUUCUUUUGCUCACAUAUUUUGAUUGAACUAGCAUAAAAAAACUACUAUUUUUUAUUUGAGAUAUGGACUAUUGGUUAAGAAUGAAUCUUUUUUGUUUUAAUGUUAAAUGGUAAUCGGUGCAUAAUUCUUGUUAUGUUAUACCUUAGCACAUUAUUGUUGGUUUCAAUUCUUUUCUUUUGAUUCAUACCUUCAACCUCAUCUAUGACAUCUUUGUCAUUGACACACAAUCAGACACUACUCGUUUAUAAUGCUAUUGUUUAUUUACGAUUUCUGGAGAACUAGAAAGUACCUGAGUAUAUAGGACAAUUGUUUUAGUCCACUUUUUCUAAGGAAACUGCAAAACCUUUCAUCUGUCAAUGUCUAUUAACUAGCUAUAAAAUUGGCUGCUAGUACUUCCAAUUCCUCUAUACCUCCAUGGGCUAGAGGGUAAGUAAGUUAUGUUCUUUUUCUUGUGUUGAUUGUAAUGUUAGAGGUUUUAGUUAAGCAUAUGUGAUAACUUGAAUCACUUUAAAUUAACUUUCAGGUUAAGAAGCUACAUCUAGUCUAGAGGGAAGAUUAAAGCAAAUAGUAGAUAAAGAUCUAAUUUGAGAGUGACUUAGUUGAAUUGGAAGAAAUGGUACAUGUUGCAUUCUUGUGUGCACAUUUUAGGUGACUUUGUUGAUUAUGUGGAUUGCAUAUCCCUAACUCUAAGCAUCAAUUGUAAAUAUUAUAGUAUAUGAUCAAGCCUUCUAAAUUAGUAAUUGUCCUUUUUACCUCUUUUUUUUUCCUACAAUGUUGAACUGUGUGUGUUUGAUUUUGAUGAAGGGUGUGGAACUAAUCUGAUUCAAGAUCACAAGGUAUGUGGUAAAGGUACAGUGGUCCUAUGAAAACUUCCUAAUUUUUCUUAUCGUUUAUCUUUUGUUUGGUUUGUGGUGUAUUAUAGGCAUGCUUAUGCAACAACUUUUCUUCUUAUUGUUUAAAUGAGCAAGUUGCAGUUGACAACAUAAACUCAUUUAAAUUGAUAUGUAUGUGUUUGUUGAAACUUUCUGAAGAUUCAAUUGAUGUACUUCAGGGGAUAUUUGGUUAGUAGAGAAGUGGAGUUAAAGCCAUUACUUUAUUACAGUAUUUAGUAUUUUCCUCUGCAGGAGUAACUGAACUGAUUACUUUUGGUAUUUGGUAUUUAAUUUAGAUUUGAAUCCCUUGAAUAAAAUUGAUGCAUGUAGGAGUUUAUUGGGUAGAUGAAAAAGGGAAAAGGAGUGUUGCGUGAACGUCAAACGUUGAAACUCGCUCUGAAAGAUGAAAAAGGGCAAAGGCUGUAAGAUUGGUUGUAUUUGGAGAUUCAACACCAUUUCAUAAGGACGAAGUUUCGAAUGUUCAAGAACGUUUAGAUUUAGUUUGGUUAGGCGUGUUUUAGUAGUAGUCUAAGAUUAUGUUUUUUCCACUAGUGUUGCUGUCAUUUGAAGUGUUCUACUUGCCAUACAAAAUUAUGUUUUAUUUGUUGAUUAUAGUUUUUGAUUUUUUUGAAUUAA
Long non-coding RNA from Trifolium pratense (red clover), 2369 nucleotides. RefSeq lists it as uncharacterized. The transcript has 4 exons. Lineage: Eukaryota; Viridiplantae; Streptophyta; Magnoliopsida; Fabales; Fabaceae. The record is from RefSeq and is a predicted model, not a curated record.